This 305-nucleotide ribosomal RNA is filed under the name uncultured bacterium. Its description in RNAcentral is "bacterial SSU rRNA". It matches the Rfam family "Bacterial small subunit ribosomal RNA", at positions 336 to 657 of the family's 1533-position model. The record is from RNAcentral.
UUCCUACGGGACGCAGCAGUGGGGAAUAUUGGGCAUGGGCGCAAGCCUGACCCAGCAACGCCGCGCGAAGGAAGAAGGCUUUCGGGUUGUAAACUUCUUUUGACAGGGAAGAGUAGAAGACGGUACCUGUCGAAUAAGCCACGGCUAACUACGUGCCAGCAGCCGCGGUAAUACGUAGGGAGCGGGCGUUAUCCGGAUUUACUGGGUGUAAAGGGCGUGUAGGCGGGAUGGCAAGUCAGGCGUGAAAACUAUGGGCUCAACCCAUAGCCUGCGUUUGAAACUGUCGUUCUUGAGUGAUGGAGAGG